CAGCAGCCGCGGGAAUACGUAGGGUGCGAGCGUUAAUCGGAUUUACUGGGCGUAAAGCGUGCGCAGGCGGCCCGUUAAGACAGGUGUGAAAUCCCUGGGCUCAACCUAGGAAUUGCGCUUGUGACUGGCGGGCUCGAGUACGGUAGAGGGGGGUGGAAUUCCUGGUGUAGCAGUGAAAUGCGUAGAGAUCAGGAGGAACACCGAUGGCGAAGGCAGCCCCCUGGGCCUGUACUGACGCUCAUGCACGAAAGCGUGGGGAGCAAACAGGAUUAGAGACCCCCGUAGUCCCUGUCUCUUAUAA
Molecule: ribosomal RNA, 301 nt
Filed under: uncultured bacterium
Lineage: Bacteria
Description: partial 16S ribosomal RNA
Rfam family: Bacterial small subunit ribosomal RNA
Source: RNAcentral